CUUCCUCAUCUACAAGUGAAGACGGGUGAUAUGUGCCUGGGUUAAAGGAGACAAAGCCCCAGUAACCCUGCCUGGCACGUGAGUGAUACCUCAAAGACAGCUUUUGUUGGCUCUGGCCAUGGGUGAAUGUGGACUUCAGCCCAGCCUGCAGCAGGAUUUGCAUUUGCCAGGAUCCCCAGGAGGGGUGUAUGUGGGCUCAAGUCUGGGAAGCCCUGCCCUGAGGCACACAGCACAUUCCAGAGUGCGGGCAGCUUGAUGAAGGACAGCAGGGUCUCUGAAGACCAGGGCUGCUGCUGUUUCCUGUAAAUACAGCAGUGGGCUGGACUCAAAAUGCCUCCCCACUGUGUCCCUGAAAGUCAUCUUAGUUUUCUGCAUCUUCCUUACAGAUGACUCUUCUACAAAAGUGGACAUUAAGGAGACCUACGAGGUAGAAGCCAGCACUUUCUGCUUCCCUGAAUCCGUGGAUGUGGGUGGUGCGUCACCCCACGGCAAGACCAUCAGUGAGAGUGAGCUGAGCGCCAGUGCCACUGAGCUGCUGCAGGACUAC
This 547-nucleotide small RNA is filed under the name Pongo abelii (Sumatran orangutan). Its description in RNAcentral is "retained intron". The record is from RNAcentral. Lineage: Eukaryota; Metazoa; Chordata; Mammalia; Primates; Hominidae.